RNAcentral lists this long non-coding RNA (4071 nucleotides) under Chinchilla lanigera (long-tailed chinchilla). Its description in RNAcentral is "lncRNA (ENSCLAG00000022256.1)". Lineage: Eukaryota; Metazoa; Chordata; Mammalia; Rodentia; Chinchillidae. The record is from RNAcentral.
ACUUCCGGCCGCGCCGUGGGCCUCCCUGGCGCGCGCCCCGCUGCCCCUGCCCGGCCUAGGGCUCUCCGGUGCUGCGUCCCUGCGCCGUGCGCCGCCCUGGCCCCACCUCACAGGUCGACCCCACCUCACAGGUCGACCCCACGCCGGCCCCCCCACGCCAAGCCCGGGCCCGCGGCGCCAGGCAGCAGCGCCCCCUGGUGGACGCCGCUGCUCAGCGCCCCGUCGGCUCAACCCGACCCGGGGCCGCGCCGGGACCCGACGGUCCAGCCCCGGCCGGCGGGGGCGCUGCCCAGGCUGCGGGGAGGGCGAGGAAACCGACAGGGCCCGCGGGCACACCGGAGCCCACGUCAGGGUCGGCGGGAGAAGCCUCAGGGCAGGCCUCAGCGCAGGUGGGAGGUUGGAAAUGCGCCCGACCCCGGGGGUACGCCGGCUCCCGCGGAAGAUGCCAAAUCCCGGCCCAGGGCGCUGUGCGAAACUCCGACUCUUAACACUGCAGGGUCGCUGCAACCAGGGACAGGGCGAAAGCGCUGCGGUCCGGAGAGAAGAUGACUGAGUACACCCGACAGGACCGAGGCGGGGAGAGGAAGACAGGCGAAGACCAGGCCCGCCUGGGGAGGGCGGCAGUCAGUGGCAGCACCGACCUGCCGGCCGGAGGAUCAAGAAGUCCCUAUAGCAGUGGCUCACACCGUGCAUUUUCUUACUCCGAUGCCCGCUCUCGUGGCAGCCCAGUUCCCUGGAGACACUCUGCACCGCACACGCGUGCCCUGCAUGAGCUCAGCCGCACACUGUGGAGCAAAGCGAUCCUGACGUGUGGCUGCAGGGCCAGAACGCCGCUCCGGUUGUGGAACCAGAACCAAACCAAAUGGAAAAGCGCUCUACACCAGGAGCUGGAAGGCAACCGACUUUACCACACUGGUGGGCUGGGAUUGCUCCCACAGCAUCAGCUCAAAACUGGCUUUGGAAUUGGUUUAUAUACGUUUUGUAGGCAGGAAGUACAGGAGCUUGAAAGCGAGGCAAGUUUCUGUUGGGUAGCAUCAGUCUUGCUGGGCAGAAAGUCCUUGGAGCGAGUUAGCCAACAGGACAUGUUUGGGGGCGAGAAAGCACAGGCUGCGCAGCUGGGUGCAGUCAGACUGGGCGGAUCAGGUUAUCUCUGGUCUAGUCAGUCAAGGCUGAGGGAGUCUAGCGGAGGAGGUACGCGGGGGGCUGCAUGAUCUCAUUCUGUCCUAAUGUGGUGUCAGACUACUAGUUGAUUUUAAUUUUUAAAAAUUUCCAUCACACUAUGAGCAGGCCAGGGCGAACUGGUUCUCAGGCUGCUGGUGCGGAGGCCUGGCCGGGCACCUAGGUGGAUUCCGCCUGGGCGCCAGCCAGGACAGGGUAGGAGUGGUGUGACCUCAGUCACCUUCCACUGGAGUAACUCGCCACCAGCUUUUGGGUUCUGUUCAGUGUGGCUCUGUCCUAGUCAAAAGAGAAGCAGGGCCCUAAAACCGCUCCACCGUGUGUACAUGGACUCAGACCUCCUGCUUGGACUCCAGGGAAGGGGCCUCGCAGCCAGCCUUGGGCCCAGUCUCCUACCUCCUCCUUUCACCCUUGUUCUGCAAUCAGCCUGCACGACCCAGCCAGCAGACCUGGUUCUGCUGCGCUUCCUGUUUGGUCUUCUGUUUCGUGGGAACCCAGAGACGUUCCUGCUGGCAAAGCUGCAGCGGCCUGGCUCUCAGGGGCCCUUGUCAGGAGGAACAGAGACGUCCCGGAGCGGGGAGAUGGCAAGCUCGUUCCUGCACUCGCGGUCCUGGGGAAGGAAGGAGCGCGCUUUACCCAGACCUGGACCUUCCCGGGGUCGACCCUUCCGUGGGAGAGUCGGGGGUGAUGGGGGGAGACACACAGCGGGCCAAGGAGCCCCUGGCUCCGGCCUUCAACACUGAAGCAGCACAGGCAGCCCAGGCUCUCUGACCUCCUGCCCCUGUGUACGCUUUUGCCCACGACCACGCCGACCCGAGAGUGGGAGAGUGGGCUCCGGGUCAGGGAGCCCAAGCCUCUCGCUUUGGAUGGUGGGGUCCCGGGCCCCGAGCCCGCCUCUCGCGCGGCCUGUGUCACCUUCCGGCCUGAGUUGAGUCCAUGCUGGUUCGCCCGUGUCCACCUCUGGGUUUUCAGAUCCUCGGCCGCUGAGCUUCCUCCGAGCUCCGCGAUUCUCUUCCUUUUCAGAGGCCCGGCACUGCGUUGUCUGCCACGCCUGGCCUGCGGCCGCAGGGUUCGCCCAGGACAGCCGCGGGGGUUGCGCACUGCCGCAGCAGGGUCCCGGUCUCCCAGGGUUCCGAGGUCCCCGCUGUCCUUGGACCCUAUGAAGCCUUUUUGUUUUUUUGGCCAUAGGCCACGCCUGCAAACACGGGGCAGAUGCCACGGUCCCAACUCGGUCCGUGUCACUGGACCUCAGGUCCAGCCUUAGGAAGGUGCGGCGGGGCGUCCUGGAGCUCCGAGACUGCGAGGGGCGAAAAGGACGCACACACUCGCGCCCACACCCGCGCCCGCUUCCGCACCCGUUUGGCCGGGACGCCGUGGCGCUGUCCAGGGCGGGCAGCCGGCCGGGCGGGCGGGGAGGCUCGGAGAGGGCGGGGUCCCCACGUCUCAGCCACGCGCCCCCAGCGAUGCGGACGCGGCGCCGCGUGCAGACGGCUCGCCUCCGGCGCUCACGGCGCAGCUGCGGUCGGGGUGCGCUUCUGCGGCGGGGUUCCUUAGGUGAAAAUCGGUUCGGAGGGAAAGCCCGCAGGCAGCAGGGCUCGCGCGUGCGCCCCGGCCGCGCCUCCGAAGUUGGGCGAGGCGCUCGGAGGCGGGCGCAGCCGAGUCGAUCUGGUCGCGUUUCCGCAGACGCUGGAGCCUUCGCCACGAAGACCCCAGGCCCCAUGCGCGGGCUCCGGGGACAGGGACGGCGCGGGCCGCGUGGGGCGGGAGAGCUGCGGAGGCGCAGGCCCGGGCCUGGUCGCUGCGGUUGUGCCCCCGGACGGGCACAGGCGGGGCCUCCCGGGAGGGGCUGGGGUGUGACCUUCCUUUCCUACUUGUGUGCUAGUUCUUCCUCGAUGUCCUGCGGCUCCGACGGUGAGGACGUUAUUCUGCGCAGGGCUGUCCGGGUCAGGACGCGAGGCCGAGUCACACCCCUCAGAGGGCAGUGACCCGGCCGAGGGCGCCUGGUCCACCCUGCCCGGGCCUCAGGGGAGAAGAGCGCUGAGCACCGAGGUGAGGCCUGGGAGACCCGCCCAGGUCGUGGGGGUCAGCCCAGAGCUGCGAGAAUCGGUUCCGCGCUCCCAGCUGCCCAGGCUGCCGUGUCGCUGCCACGCGUGAGCCUCUGGUUCUGACCUUCGUCCCGGCGACGGAUUUAAUGUUGCCCUGCUUUCUUCUUGAUGUUUCUCUCUCUGAUAUUUUCUCCUUUUUAAUGAAGGAGCCUCCAUUUGAAGUAACAGUUUUACUAUCUAAAAAGCAAAAAAUUGCUUUAUUUUCUGUAUUUUUCCCUUCUUGUUUUUACAUUUAAAGUUCUCAUCCUGAAUUCUCCUGAGCUACAUCUCCAGCCCUUUAUUUCUUCUUUAUUUUGAGACAGGGUCUUGCUCAGUCACUAAAUUGCCCUGGCUGGCCUAGAAUUUGGGAUCCUCCUGCCUCAGCCUGUCAGUGUUGGGAUUACAGAUGUGUACCACCCUAUCUGGCUUUUCCUUCCAACUCUUUAAAGUUUAAUGUACUAGGUUUUUUUUUGUUUUGUUUUUUGUUUUUUUUUUAAGGCAGGGUCUCGCUCUGCAGUUCAGGCUGGCCUUAAGCUCACUUUAUAGCCUAGGCUGGUCUCGAACUUGCAGUGAUCCUCCUGCCUCAGCCUCCCGAGUGCUGGGAUUACAGGUGUGCGCCACCACACCCGGCUGUACUAGGUUUUUAAAAAUAGGUUCUUGAAAUAAAAGCUAGAACAAUACGAAUUUUUCUGUUUUUUAAUGUAUACAUUUGGAACUAAAAAUUAAUUAUUAAGUACUAUCUUAGUUUCAUGCCACAGUUGUGAUGUCUUAUUUUCAUUGCCAUAUAAAUUAAAAACAUUUUAUAGUUGCA